UACGGAGGAUGCGAGCGUUAUCCGGAUUUAUUGGGUUUAAAGGGUGCGUAGGCGGGAUGCCAAGUCAGCGGUGAAAGUUUGUGGCUCAACCAUAAAAUUGCCGUUGAAACUGGCAGACUUGAGUGUGUUUGAGGUAGGCGGAAUGCGUGGUGUAGCGGUGAAAUGCAUAGAUAUCACGCAGAACUCCGAUUGCGAAGGCAGCAUACCGGCGCCCUACUGACGCUGAGGCACGAAAGCGUGGGUAUCGAACAGG
RNAcentral lists this ribosomal RNA (253 nucleotides) under uncultured Parabacteroides sp. RNAcentral's name for it is "partial 16S ribosomal RNA". It matches the Rfam family "Bacterial small subunit ribosomal RNA", at positions 524 to 776 of the family's 1533-position model. The record is from RNAcentral. Lineage: Bacteria; Pseudomonadati; Bacteroidota; Bacteroidia; Bacteroidales; Tannerellaceae.